CAAUGAUUCACCGUCAGCACACGGUCCAGCAGCAGCUGGUAUGCAUGUAACUGAGGCUCUCUUACUAUCAGGAUGCACGUUCUCUCUCUUGUCUUAGGGAGAUCUCAACUGAACCGACUCCUCACCUAAUGCUUCAGCAAUGCCUAACGUGGGAGUGACUAGGCACACCCAAUUGCAACUGCCCCCAUUUCAAACAGCUGGCUUGCAGGGCAUCUAAGAAUUAGUUUUCACUUUGCAUUAGGUGUCUUCAGCCCGUUGAAGCAGAACCUUAACUUACUGUAUUCAACGGCUUUUGGACGAUCCCCUUUUGCUUUCUGCAGAAAAUUAAAAAGAAGGACAAAAUUUUGUUUUAAGGUCCCUGAUUUUGUUUUUCUGCCAAAGCAAAUGAAGGGUCUUUGUUAAAAUUGGUUUUCAGCUGCUCUCAGAGAAUACCCAAGCUAUUCAGGAGGAUUGUACAGCUGAAAUUAUCUGCGACUUUUAGGUUGUGUAUGGAUCAUUUGCCUUGGGAAAGUCCACUAUGAAAUAACAGCCUGCUUUGAUGGGGUUAUCAUUAUCAGAGCAGAGGUGCCCUGUUUCUGCUAUGAAAUCUUCAGCAGAAGGAUGCCGCUGCUCCUUUAUUCUACCGCCUUUGCGGCUGAUGGCAAUGUCCAAAUGCAAGGCAGAAAAGCAUCUUUCAUAGUCUGGACGCAGGUAACUGCAGUGAAAUUGUAUCCCACAAAGCAGCCUGGCCAAAAGCUUUCCAGAAGAGUGCAAACAUUCUGAUUUUUCUGGAGAAGCAAGGCCAGCCCUUGCAGUUGUUCCGUGGGAUAUACCCGGCAGACCAACAUCACUCUGACCUUGGCAGCUCUCCCCAACUCUUAUUUUCCAUGUUGAAGAAUCUUUGAAAUGCCACUUGUGUCCUGGACACCAUCACUACUCUUGCCUUUCGUGCAUUUCUCUUGGAUGCAUGGCCUUGGGCCAGCAGACUGUACUGCAGGGGACGGAGGAGGCUGGAAGUGGUAUCAGUGCUGUGAGUGCUUGGUCCUGAGGGGAUGGUGGCUCAGAGUGCUGGAUUGGUGAUAUAUCUGAUAAAAAGCCCCAUCUGCUCCAUUCUUAUUACUGGCCACACAAAGCUGUUGGAUUAUUGCACAUUACAGCCUCCCAGUAGCUGGAGGUUUUACAGCCUGCAUUUUACCCUUGGUAGUUCAGCUUAUGGUGGAGAACUGGAUGUGAGCAGCAGCCCUGGUUUUAUGGUUGAAGGCAGUGAAGUCACACUGAGCACCUGACAGCGGGGCAAGAGACUGCAGUUACAGACAGCGGUGCUAUCAGGGGCAGCAAAGUUGGCCGACUCACUGGAGAAACAUAUUUGACUUUCAAAGUACUGAGUGUUAGCACUGGAAACCAUAAACUUUACUGCUUUGAUUUGGAAAUGACUGCAUUGAAUGUCCAGUUCACCCAGUCCUAGGGGCUUGAGUUUUAUCGCAUGCGGGUGAUAAAAGACUGUCAAUGUUAUUCUUCUGUUAAAUACUUAUAGGAAUUCCUUCAUGCAGUACUUUGCAGUUCUCCAUGCCCUCUUCUAAACCCUGUCCUGAGAAGGGGGGAUAUUUGCCAUCUCACAAAUAGGUAAUGAGGGAAGGGAGAUGCUGACUUGCCUAACGUAAGACAUGAAGUCUGCUCUGGAGUGAGGAGCCUUGGCUCUGGUUUCUAGCCUUGGGCCUCUGCAUAGUGUUUCCUUGUUCUCCCAGUGCCUGAAAGAGGCUGUAUGUCUCAGUACAUGGAAA
RNAcentral lists this long non-coding RNA (1760 nucleotides) under Gallus gallus (chicken). Its description in RNAcentral is "lncRNA (ENSGALG00010003118.1)". The record is from RNAcentral. Lineage: Eukaryota; Metazoa; Chordata; Aves; Galliformes; Phasianidae.